Long non-coding RNA from Oncorhynchus masou masou (cherry salmon), 2317 nucleotides. RefSeq lists it as uncharacterized. The transcript is spliced from 2 exons. The record is from RefSeq and is a predicted model, not a curated record. Lineage: Eukaryota; Metazoa; Chordata; Actinopteri; Salmoniformes; Salmonidae.
AGGUUCCUACACCAUAGACAGGUUCCUGACCCAUAGACAGGUUCCUACACCAUAGACAGGUUCCUACACUAUAGACAGGUUCCUACACCAUAGACAGGUUCCUACACCAUAGACAGGUUCCUACACCAUAGACAGGUUCCUACACCAUAGACAGGUUCCUGACCCAUAGACAGGUUCCUGACCCAUAGACAGGUUCCUGACCCAUAGACAGGUUCCUGACCCAUAGACAGGUUCCUGACCCAUAGACAGGUUCCUACACCAUAGACAGGUUCCUACACCAUAGACAGGUUCCUACACUAUAGACAGGUUCCUGACCCAUAGACAGGUUCCUACACCAUAGACAGGUUCCUACACCAUAGACAGGUUCCUACACCAUAGACAGGUUCCUGACCCAUAGACAGGUUCCUACACCAUAGACAGGUUCCUGACCCAUAGACAGGUUCCUACACUAUAGACAGGUUCCUACACCAUAGACAGGUUCCUACACCAUAGACAGGUUCCUACACUAUAGACAGGUUCCUACACCAUAGACAGGUUCCUACACCAUAGACAGGUUCCUACACCAUAGACAGGUUCCUGACCCAUAGACAGGUUCCUACACCAUAGACAGGUUCCUACACUAUAGACAGGUUCCUGACCCAUAGACAGGUUCCUACACCAUAGACAGUCAAUUUCUUUUGAGUUGAAAGAAUGUUUAGCUAUUUCUAUGAUCAACCCAUACAUAAUGUAGACCUACAUGUGUCGCCAUUGACAAUGAUUUCACAAGAGGCCUAAUUCACAUGAUAUGACUCAAUAACUAUAGCCACUAAUACAGGGCUGCCCAACCCUCUUCCUGGAGAUCUACUGUCCUGUAGGUUAUCAGUCCAACCCUCCAGGAAGAGGGUCAAUCAAAUCAAAUGUAUUUAUAUAGCCCUUCUGACAUCAGCUGAUAUCUCAAAGUGCUGUACAGAAACCCAGCCUAAAACCCCCAAACAGCAAGCAAUGCAGGUGUAGAAGCACGGUGGCUAGGAAAAACUCCCUAGAAAGGCCGAAACCUAGGAAGAAACCUAGAGAGGACCCAGGCUAUGAGGGGUGGCCAGUCCUCUUCUGGAGAUUAUAACAGAACAUGGCCAAGAUGUUCAAAUGUUCAUAAAUGACCAGCAUGGUCAAAUAAUAGUAAUCACAGUGGUUGUUGGGGGUGCAACAAAUCAGCACCUCAGGAGUAAAUGUCAGUUGGCUUUUCAUAGCCGAUCAUUAGGAGUAUCUCUACCGCUCCUGCUGUCUCUAGAGAGUUGAAAACAGCAUGUCUGGGACAGGUAGCACGUCCGCUGAACAGGUCAGGGUUCCAUAGCGGCAGGCAGAACCGUUGAAACUGGAGCAGCAGCACGGCCAGGUGGACUGGGGACAGCAAGGAGUCAUCAUGCCAGGUAGUCCUGAGGCAUGGUCCUAAGGCUCAGGUCCUCCGAGAGAGAGACAGAGAGAAAGAAAGAGAGAGCGAAUUAGAGAGAGCAUACUUAAAUUCACACAGGACACUGGAUAGGACAGGAUAAAUACUCCAGAUAAAACAAACUGACCCUAGCCCCCCAACACAUAAACUACUGCAGCCUAAAUACUGGAGGCUGAGACAGGAGGGGUCAGGAGACAGGGCCAAACAGGCAGGAUAUAACCCCACCCACUUUGCCAAUGCACAGCCCCCACACCACUAGAGGGAUAUCUUCAACCACCAACUUACCAUCCUGAGACAAGGCCGAGUUUUGCCCACAAAGAUCUCCUCCACGGCACAACCCAAGGGGGGGGCGCCAACCCAGACAGGAAGAUAACCUACAGGACAGUAGAUCUCCAGAAAGAGGGUUGGACUGAAAACCUACAGGACAGUAGAUCUCCAGAAAGAGGGUUGGACUGAUAACCUACAGGACAGUAGAUCUCCAGAAAGAGGGUUGGACUGAACCUAGCUGAGAUAAACUUCAUGAGUUGAUUUUUUGUGGCUAGAACUCAGUGUCUUUAGCAUCCUAAAACCUACUCUGAGUUGUUGUUCUUAAACCAGAUUCUAAUAUGAUUCCUAGGACCUUUUCUGAGAUGCUUUGUGGAUACGGGGCCCUAGUCCUGUAUGUAUUCACAAAGCAUCUCAGAAUAAGUGUGGUGAGUGCCGUACCACUACUCCUCCUGGGCACCUGGCUGUUUAUAGCUGCAUCUGGAUGACACCUUCCUGUACUAUAUGGAUAAGAGGAGUGGAAAAAUUGUGGUUUGAUUAAGUGCUGUUGUAUAUAAUCUUUGACUUCCAGACUUGCGCUCUCUGGACCUCUCUCUCUCUGGACCUGUCUCUCUCUCUGGACCUCUC